AAACUGAAGAGUUUGAUCAUGGCUCAGAUUGAACGCUGGCGGCAGGCCUAACACAUGCAAGUCGAGCGGAAACGAUGGAAGCUUGCUUCCAGGCGUCGAGCGGCGGACGGGUGAGUAAUGCAUAGGAAUCUGCCCGAUAGUGGGGGAUAACCUGGGGAAACCCAGGCUAAUACCGCAUACGUCCUACGGGAGAAAGCAGGGGAUCUUCGGACCUUGCGCUAUCGGAUGAGCCUAUGUCGGAUUAGCUAGUUGGUGAGGUAAUGGCUCACCAAGGCUGCGAUCCGUAGCUGGUCUGAGAGGAUGAUCAGCCACAUCGGGACUGAGACACGGCCCGAACUCCUACGGGAGGCAGCAGUGGGGAAUAUUGGACAAUGGGCGAAAGCCUGAUCCAGCCAUGCCGCGUGUGUGAAGAAGGCUUUCGGGUUGUAAAGCACUUUCAGUGGGGAAGAAAUCCUCGGGGCCAAUACCCUCGAGGGAGGACAUCACCCACAGAAGAAGCACCGGCUAACUCCGUGCCAGCAGCCGCGGUAAUACGGAGGGUGCGAGCGUUAAUCGGAAUUACUGGGCGUAAAGCGCGCGUAGGCGGCGUGAUAAGCCGGUUGUGAAAGCCCCGGGCUCAACCUGGGAACGGCAUCCGGAACUGUCAGGCUAGAGUGCAGGAGAGGAAGGUAGAAUUCCCGGUGUAGCGGUGAAAUGCGUAGAGAUCGGGAGGAAUACCAGUGGCGAAGGCGGCCUUCUGGACUGACACUGACGCUGAGGUGCGAAAGCGUGGGUAGCAAACAGGAUUAGAUACCCUGGUAGUCCACGCCGUAAACGAUGUCGACUAGCCGUUGGGGUCCUUGUGACCUUUGUGGCGCAGUUAACGCGAUAAGUCGACCGCCUGGGGAGUACGGCCGCAAGGUUAAAACUCAAAUGAAUUGACGGGGGCCCGCACAAGCGGUGGAGCAUGUGGUUUAAUUCGAUGCAACGCGAAGAACCUUACCUACUCUUGACAUCGUGCGAACUUUCCAGAGAUGGAUUGGUGCCUUCGGGAACGCACAGACAGGUGCUGCAUGGCCGUCGUCAGCUCGUGUUGUGAAAUGUUGGGUUAAGUCCCGUAACGAGCGCAACCCUUGUCCCUAUUUGCCAGCGAUUCGGUCGGGAACUCUAGGGAGACUGCCGGUGACAAACCGGAGGAAGGUGGGGACGACGUCAGGUCAUCAUGGCCCUUACGAGUAGGGCUACACACGUGCUACAAUGGCCGGUACAAAGGGUUGCGAAGCCGCGAGGUGGAGCUAAUCCCGAAAAGCCGGUCUCAGUCCGGAUCGGAGUCUGCAACUCGACUCCGUGAAGUCGGAAUCGCUAGUAAUCGUGAAUCAGAAUGUCACGGUGAAUACGUUCCCGGGCCUUGUACACACCGCCCGUCACACCAUGGGAGUGGACUGCACCAGAAGUGGUUAGCCUAACUUCGGAGGGCGAUCACCACGGUGUGGUUCAUGACUGGGGUGAAGUCGUAACAAGGUAGCCGUAGGGGAACCUGCGGCUGGAUCACCUCCUUA
RNAcentral lists this ribosomal RNA (1538 nucleotides) under Halomonas alimentaria. RNAcentral describes it as "Bacterial small subunit ribosomal RNA". It matches the Rfam family "Bacterial small subunit ribosomal RNA". RNAcentral also lists the same sequence under 1 other name. The record is from Rfam by way of RNAcentral. Lineage: Bacteria; Pseudomonadati; Pseudomonadota; Gammaproteobacteria; Oceanospirillales; Halomonadaceae.